This 1455-nucleotide long non-coding RNA is filed under the name Felis catus (domestic cat). RNAcentral's name for it is "lncRNA (ENSFCAG00000049760.1)". Lineage: Eukaryota; Metazoa; Chordata; Mammalia; Carnivora; Felidae. The record is from RNAcentral.
GUUGAUCCGUGAGCCUAAGUCUAUGGUUCUCUGAAGCAAAGGUGCCAGUGAAGUUGCUUCAUAAAAAAACAAAACAAAACAAACCUUCCAGAAUCUUCCAUUGGAGAAUUGUCACCUGCAAAGACCUCUGAGAGAUGUAAUCCAUUCCAUUCAGAAAGACAUGCCUAAAGAAUUAGGUCAUGCAUGGAGGAAGAAGAGCAUGGGACAUAAUAUAAGAACAUGAAUCAGGAGAACUGUCUUGUCCUCACUGGUAUUUGUGAUCCCCAAGCUCUGUGUGUGUGUGUGUGUGUGUGUGUGUGUGUGUUGGGGGGGGGCGUGUGCGUAUGUGCUUUUUGUUUGUGUGCUUUGAGAGGCUGGAAGUAGGUAGAGAUGAGGGGGAAACAGAAGGGGAGUAGCACAAGCUCAUUCCCAAAAUGCUGUCUUAUAAUUAUUUUCUAAAUACUAUUAUAAUCACACUUACCUGCUAGCAGAUCAGUGAUACUGAUGAAAAUGGCAUAUCUAAACGGGACAGGUUACAUCAAGUUUUCUAUCGGAGGCCCAUGAAAGCCAGCUAAAAAUUUUUUCCUAACUUCAGCUAGGACAUUUUUUUUUUAAUUUUUUUUUCAACGUUUAUUUAUUUUUGGGACAGAGAGAAACAGAGCAUAAACGGGGGAGGGGCAGAGAGAGAGGGAGACACAGAAUCGGAAACAGGUUCCAGGCUCCGAGCCAUCAGCCCAGAGCCUGACGCGGGGCUCGAACUCACGGACCGCGAGAUCGUGACCUGGCUGAAGUCGGACGCUUAACCGACUGCGCCACCCAGGCGCCCCAUCUAGGACAUUUUUUAAUCAGGAUUCUCCCCUCAAGAGUAAAUUGUCAUAAGGGCUCCCUGUGACGGUUUAUUUUUGCUGUCUUUCCACGAUGGAGAAAAGAGAGACGAUUGGAAAUGGGGCCGUGUGGAAAUGAAACCGGGACUCCAGGUGAAGAGACAGACACAGGUAGACCCCGGCACUGUGUCGAUUCUAGCAGAAGAGGCACAUUUUUCUGGGUCCUGGCUCUGAGUGUGCGUGUGCGAGGAGUGGAGUGGCCAUCAUCUCAAAGAGACCGGGUGAGAAGGUGGCAGGUGCUGAAUGGAAACACCAACAGACAGAAUUGGAGAGGAGCACUUGGUAGGACGCUUCCUAAAAACCCUGCUUUGCCUCAUCGGUAUGCUGUUCCGGAACAGUUCUGCCUGACGCGGUGCUCCCGCAGGAUGCUCUCCAGGAACAUUCCGGUUAGCCUACCUCAGAAGAGUAACAGCCUGUGCGUGAACCCGUUACCCUCAAGACUUUGCUCUUCUUUCCACAAUACCUUUUGGUGGCCAGUCGACUUCUUCGACUUCCUGUUAGCUUUUCCAAUGGUUGGUUCGGAAACUCAAGUGAUUCUAGCCUUGGCUAUGUGGUCUCAGGAUUCGCACAACUAGUUUUCCUCGUUAUGAAU